UACGUAGGGCGCAAGCGUUGUCCGGAAUUAUUGGGCGUAAAGAGCUCGUAGGUGGUUUGUCGCGUCUGCCGUGAAAACCCGAGGCUUAACCUCGUGGCUUGCGGUGGAUACGGGCAGACUAGAGGUAGGUAGGGGAGAAUGGAAUUCCCGGUGUAGCGGUGAAAUGCGCAGAUAUCGGGAGGAACACCGGUGGCGAAGGCGGGUCUCUGGGCCGAUACUGACGCUGAGGAGCGAAAGCGUGGGGAGCGAACAGG
RNAcentral lists this ribosomal RNA (254 nucleotides) under uncultured bacterium. Its description in RNAcentral is "partial 16S ribosomal RNA". It matches the Rfam family "Bacterial small subunit ribosomal RNA", at positions 524 to 776 of the family's 1533-position model. The record is from RNAcentral.